GUACUCGCUUCGGCGGUACAUAUACUAAAAUUGGAACGAUACAGAGAAGAUUAACAUGGCCCCUGCGCAAGGAUGACUCGCAAAUCGUUAG
RNAcentral lists this small nuclear RNA (91 nucleotides) under Rhodnius prolixus. Lineage: Eukaryota; Metazoa; Arthropoda; Insecta; Hemiptera; Reduviidae. The record is from RNAcentral.